UGGGGAAUAUUGCACAAUGGGCGCAAGCCUGAUGCAGCCAUGCCGCGUGUGUGAAGAAGGCCGUCGGGUUGUAAAGCACUUUCAGCGGGGAGGAAGGCGUUAAGGUUAAUAACCUCAUCGAUUGACGUUACCCGCAGAAGAAGCACCGGCUAACUCCGUGCCAGCAGCCGCGGUAAUACGGAGGGUGCAAGCGUUAAUCGGAAUUACUGGGCGUAAAGCGCACGCAGGCGGUCUGUCAAGUCGGAUGUGAAAUCCCCGGGCUCAACCUGGGAACUGCAUUCGAAACUGGCAGGCUAGAGUCUUGUAGAGGGGGGUAGAAUUCCAGGUGUAGCGGUGAAAUGCGUAGAGAUCUGGAGGAAUACCGGUGGCGAAGGCGGCCCCCUGGACAAAGACUGACGCUCAGGUGCGAAAGCGUGGGGAGCAAACAGG
Molecule: ribosomal RNA, 429 nt
Filed under: Chloroflexota bacterium
Lineage: Bacteria; Bacillati; Chloroflexota
Description: Chloroflexi bacterium partial 16S ribosomal RNA
Rfam family: Bacterial small subunit ribosomal RNA
Source: RNAcentral